Long non-coding RNA from Oncorhynchus keta (chum salmon), 528 nucleotides. RefSeq lists it as uncharacterized. Lineage: Eukaryota; Metazoa; Chordata; Actinopteri; Salmoniformes; Salmonidae. The record is from RefSeq and is a predicted model, not a curated record. The transcript is spliced from 3 exons.
UGAGAGCAGACGUUCCCUUCAGAAUAAAGAAGACAACAUGUCAGUAGACCAGCUCAUUGAAUGGUACAUAAUGUUCCCUGUGUCCACCAUUUAACUAGAGUGGGCAGAGAAGGUCAUUUAUCCACCAUUUAACUAGAGUGGGCAGAGAAGGUCAUUUAUCCACCAUUUAACUAGAGUGGGCAGAGAAGGUCAUUUAUCCACCAUUUAACUAGAGUGGGCAGAGAAGGUCAUUUAUCCACCAUUUAACUAGAGUGGGCAGAGAAGGUCAUUUAUCCACCAUUUAACUAGAGUGGGCAGAGAAGGUCAUUUAUCCACCAUUUAACUAGAGUGGGCAGAGAAGGUCAUUUAUCCACCAUUUAACUAGAGUGGGCAGAGAAGGUCAUUUAUCCACCAUUUAACUAGAGUGGGCAGAGAAGGUCAUUUAUCCACCAUUUAACUAGAGUGGGCAGAGAAGGUCAUUUAUCCACCAUUUAACUAGAGUGGGCAGAGAAGGUCAUUUAUCCACCAUUUAACUAGAGUGGGCAGAGA